RNAcentral lists this ribosomal RNA (468 nucleotides) under uncultured bacterium. RNAcentral describes it as "partial 16S ribosomal RNA". It matches the Rfam family "Bacterial small subunit ribosomal RNA", at positions 28 to 507 of the family's 1533-position model. The record is from RNAcentral.
GACGAACGCUGGCGGCGUGCUUAACACAUGCAAGUCGAACGGAAAGGCCCUGCUUUUGUGGGGUGCUCGAGUGGCGAACGGGUGAGUAACACGUGAGUAACCUGCCCUUGACUUUGGGAUAACUUCAGGAAACUGGGGCUAAUACCGGAUAGGAGCUCCUGCUGCAUGGUGGGGGUUGGAAAGUUUCGGCGGUUGGGGAUGGACUCGCGGCUUAUCAGCUUGUUGGUGGGGUAGUGGCUUACCAAGGCUUUGACGGGUAGCCGGCCUGAGAGGGUGACCGGCCACAAUGGGACUGAGAUACGGACCAGACUCCUACGGGAGGCAGCAGUGGGGAAUAUGGCACAGUGGGCGGAAGCCUGAUGCAGCAACGCCGCGUGCGGGAUGACGGCCUUCGAGUUGUAAACCGCUUUCGCCUGUGACGAAGCGUGAGUGACGGUAAUGGAUAAAGAAGCACCGGCUAACUACGUG